This 369-nucleotide long non-coding RNA is filed under the name Capsella rubella. RNAcentral's name for it is "long non-coding RNA (CRUB_LNC001115)". Lineage: Eukaryota; Viridiplantae; Streptophyta; Magnoliopsida; Brassicales; Brassicaceae. The record is from RNAcentral.
UAAGCCCUUGCAGCAUCGAUAUCACUCUCGAAAGUGCCUAACCAAAUCCUGGAUCCUUUCUUGGCCGGAUCUCGAAUCUCUGCUGCAAAUUUGCCCCAUGGUCUUCUUCUCACGCCUCUGUAAUGUCUCGUCUCUUCAAACCUCUUUGUUUUUUUUCGGUUCGAGACAGUCGCAACCUGAGGUGAUGUUGUUGUUGAUGAUGAUGAUGAUUCUGCUUCCACUUGCAGAAACUCUUGGACGUAGGAAUCUAGAUCAAGGACAGGGGAACUAGGUUCCAGCUUAGGAACUGGGUUAAAGGGUUCUAGAGACCAGAGUCCUGAGACAAAAGCAGUAUCAUCAAAGACAAAAUCUUGAAUGAAAUCAUCAGGG